UGCCCCAUGGCUGAGUUGGUCACAGUGUCCGACUGUUAUAUUCAUGCAUAUAUUAUAUCCCAUUGCUUUAACAUCGGAAGGUCGAGAGUUCAAGCCUCUCUGGGCAG
Rhodocollybia butyracea is the source of this 107-nucleotide non-coding RNA. The record is from the annotation of a GenBank genome assembly. Lineage: Eukaryota; Fungi; Basidiomycota; Agaricomycetes; Agaricales; Omphalotaceae.